Molecule: long non-coding RNA, 471 nt
Organism: Cydia fagiglandana
Lineage: Eukaryota; Metazoa; Arthropoda; Insecta; Lepidoptera; Tortricidae
Exons: 2
Source: RefSeq, a predicted model, not a curated record
UGUCAAGAGUGUCAAGUGAACAGCGAAUCUAAUUUUGGAGAAAAUAAUUGUUUUAUCGACAGCCGUCGUCACCGCAGCCCCAAUCAAGGCGGCGGCGCAGCCAGAGCGGGCAAGAGCGGGCUCCGCGGGCUCUUCUUCCACGCUGAGAAGUCCUCGCCAAGUUGGCACGAACAGUCAAAGCUGCCGCUGCAAUGACGCCUUCAUGGCAGUUACCAGUGCUAAGGACGUGCACUGCUGGCUUACUUGACCAGAAGAGACAAUGUAAACAAGUAAUGAUUCAAACCGUGAAGUGAAAUUGUGAACAGGUUUGCCCGAAUCAGUGUAACCUCAGUGAACUCAUUUACUUCAUAGACUUCAAACAUUUUCGAAAUUAACAAAAGUCAAGCGAACAUUGAAUACAUAGAUGUUAUGCAUUAGAUAAGAUAAAAGCUGCCUGUGAAACCAAAACUAAUAAAUCAUAUUAUUACUUAA